Molecule: transfer RNA, 83 nt
Filed under: Nematostella vectensis (starlet sea anemone)
Lineage: Eukaryota; Metazoa; Cnidaria; Anthozoa; Actiniaria; Edwardsiidae
Rfam family: tRNA
About the family: Transfer RNA (tRNA) molecules are approximately 80 nucleotides in length. Their secondary structure includes four short double-helical elements and three loops (D, anti-codon, and T loops).
Source: Rfam by way of RNAcentral
ACAAGGAUGGCCGAGUGGUUAAGGCGUUGGACUUAAGUUCCAAUGUACGAAUGUACGCGUGGGUUCGAACCCCACUCCUGGUA